This 215-nucleotide unclassified non-coding RNA is filed under the name Hevea brasiliensis (rubber tree). Lineage: Eukaryota; Viridiplantae; Streptophyta; Magnoliopsida; Malpighiales; Euphorbiaceae. The record is from RNAcentral.
AUCGCCAGAAAAGGGAUUGGCAAGGAUCACGCAAAAUGGUCGCCGGCGGCAACCGUAACUUUCAUGUAUGAACCAGAUAUUCAUAUCAAUGAGGAUUUGAUGGAAACUUUGACACUUGAGGAAAAACAAAGUUGGGUUGAAAGUAGUCCUACCAAAGUGUUUGAUAUUGAUCCCGUUACCCAACAGGUUGUAGUGGUUGAUCCUGAAGCAUACAC